GUUGGCUGUGUCAAGCCGUGACAGGCCAACAUUCGAAGAGUUUCAGGGCUAAAAUUGCGAUCGAAUUUCACGGAGACAGCGGAACCAACGCGGCGGAAACCGCGCCUUGCCGUGGAUCGCACGGCUUAGAAUGGAACUUCCGGACAAAGCGAUGAAUUACGACGAAGGCCCGCCCUCCACGACGGAAUUCUCUUUCAGGACCACGGUUGCAUCGUUCUGGAGGAUACAUUCGCAGAAAUAUCGCCAAGCUUCACGAGGGAACCGAUAAAUUACUCUUAUCGGACACACGAGUUUUUCGCGGUCAUCUAAUCGACGCAAACGAAAGAAAAACUCGAUUACCCGAGCUUAACUUCAGCCGCGAAACGUUGGACGAGCAAAAAAGUACCGACCCAGCCUUCUUCCCUCUCUGCAUUCGUUCCCGCGAGUAAGAUCGCAGAUAGAAAUUACAUCCACGACUU
This 458-nucleotide unclassified non-coding RNA is filed under the name Bombus terrestris (buff-tailed bumblebee). Its description in RNAcentral is "misc RNA ENSBTSG00005036307.1". The record is from RNAcentral. Lineage: Eukaryota; Metazoa; Arthropoda; Insecta; Hymenoptera; Apidae.